RNAcentral lists this ribosomal RNA (75 nucleotides) under uncultured fungus. RNAcentral describes it as "partial 5.8S ribosomal RNA". It matches the Rfam family "5.8S ribosomal RNA", at positions 84 to 154 of the family's 154-position model. Rfam says of the family: 5.8S ribosomal RNA (5.8S rRNA) is a component of the large subunit of the eukaryotic ribosome. Lineage: Eukaryota; Fungi. The record is from RNAcentral.
GUGAAUCAUCGAAUCUUUGAACGCACCUUGCGCCCCUUGGUAUUCCGAGGGGCACACCCGUUUGAGUGUCGUGAA